CAUCUUUGCUUCUGCUUCUCAGUCUUAUCAUCAACUUCCCCUCUUGCCAUCCCUGCCUACUUCUACAAACACACACAUGCACACAGCACAGGCACACACACACACAUACGGGGAUACACACCCACACCCACAACACACACAAACAUGCACGAACAUACUCCCCUCUACUCAGCUCCCAACCUGAUCCAUUCCUUUGCUGUGGAAGUACCCACAAUACUCCCAACUACACACCACCUCUGAUGGUUCCAUUCGUGGAUAAUGAUAACUACAUCAUAAAAGCCUCACUGUGAUGUCUUCAUCUAGGUUUAUACAAAUAAUUCAUUUUGACAAAUAUUUCUUGGACAUCCACUAUUUAUAACAUAUUUGAGGGACACAAAAGUAUAGCUCCUCUCCUCCAGAAACCUACAGUCCUGGUAAAUGACUGAGAGGCAAGUAGAACCAACCAGACUGUAAACUACUAGUAAAUGAAGAUAUUCAUACAUGAGUUGGGAGCCAAGAGGAAACAGCUAUGGAUUUUGAUUGGAAAGCUUGUAGAAGGUUUCCAAAGGAGGAGACCAAAUGACUAAUCAGCAUGGCCUUGUUCUGUCUUCAGUGGGUGCCAUAUAUGAAGGUCUGACAGGAUGGAUCACCCAGGAGUCAGGGCUUUGAGCCCAGCUUUUGAAGGAGAACAGCAGUAUGGUGAUCAGCCACAUUGGUUUGCCCAGGACUGAAGGGAGUUCUCAGGACAUGACACCUUCAGUGUCCAAACCAACAAAGUCUCAGGUGAAGAGGGGACAGGUUGAUCACCCCCAGUAGCCAUGAACCACAUAGACAAAACCAGUUGCCCUUAGGGAGCUCACGUCUUAGAGAAGAGAGACAAAUUGUAAGCUAGAGAAGGAAUGAAAGGAUGUGAUGUCAGGGUGUGAUGGAGAAAAUAAGGCAGAGAGAGGGGAUAGAGAGGGACGGGAAGGCUAGGGCUUGGGGAGUGGUCUACAUUAAGACUGAGUCAUUGGGGAAGGCCUGUCAGAACCAGGAGCAUAGCCAGACAGACUGUCAUGUGGAUGCCUGGGCAGAAACAUUUUAGAUAAGUGCAGCAUGAGCUUCUGUGUGAGGAGACAAAGAGUUGGGGGUGGGAUCAGAGAGUGGCUUUGAGCCAGAUCCCAUAGGCCCAGUCCCCUACAUAUCACUCCAAGAGAGACAGGAUGUUGGAAGGUUUGGGGAGAGAAGUGGCAUCAUUGGAUAUAUAUUUUACAAGGACCAUCCUGGGUGCUAUGUGGGAAAAGAGUGUAGGGAUGGAAGGGUGGAAGCAGGAAGGCUAAGUAGGAGGCUCUUGCAAUACUACAAGAAGAAGACAAAAUGUGGAUCAGAAAGUGCAGGGGCCUCCCACAAGCUCAGCUAAACACCCACCAUGUCAUCACUAGUGCAAAUUACUUAACUUCAUUAGCUUUUAAUCUUCUUAUCUAUGGAGUGGGGGAUUAACAAAUCGUGCAAGUCAAAUGAAAUUAUGGGUAUGAAAAUGACUAGCAGAAGUGCCUAUGGUCCUAUUAUGAAAAUACUGCAAUGCCAUAGGCAUUAAAAUGUUAACUCACUAAUCUGAUUCUUAAAGCCAGAGACUAGCCACACAAAAAAAAAAUCUGAGUGAUUAGUCACACAGAGAUGCAUGUUCCUUUGUACUGGUCAUAUUCUAGUUCUAUUGGUACAGGUUUAGGCUCUUCUGAUUGCAAAUACAAAACAUUAACAAUUUCCUAAAUAUACUUAGCAGUUUUGUGUUCCUACAUCUUUGCUCCUAAGGUCCCUUUACUCAGAGAUGGCCUUCCUUCCACACCCAAUCCUGUCCUACUUGGCUCAAAGUCACCUUCUCCGUGGAAACCUCCCUAGGUCUUUUACUCCCAAUAGGAUCAGAUGCUACUUUCUCAUUAUGGUCAUAAGAUUUUGUAUUUAGUUCUAAUACAUGACAGCCUUUUAUCAUAGCUUUUUAUAUGACUUUUUCUAAUAAGAAAAAAUAGAGGAUGGGGCAGGGUUUAAUUUAUCUUGGAUAUUACAAGGCUAUGCCAUUCACCAUACAGCUUUGUCCCUGGAACAUAGGAGGAAUAUAGGAAAUUCCUUAUUACUCAGCUAUGAAAAACAAUGAAAUGAUACCAUUUGCAGCAACAUGGAUGGAUCUAGAGAUUAUCACACUAAGUGAAGUAAGGCAGAAGAAAAAGUGAUAUCAUUUAUAUGUAGAAUCUAAAAUGAUAAAUGAAUUUAUCGACAAAACAGAAACAAACUCGGCAUAGAGAACAGACUUGUGGUUGCCAAGGGGGAGGGGGAGUGAGGGAGGGAUGAAUUGGGAAUUUGGGGUUAGUGGAUAAAACUAUUGUAUAUAGAAUAGAUAAACAACAGGGUCCUGCUGUAUAGCACAGGGAACUAUAUUCAAUAUCCUGUAAUAAACCAUAAUGGAAAAGAAUAUGCAAAAGAAUAUGAAAAAGAAUAUCUGUGUGCAUAACUGUGUAUAGCAUCACCUUGCUAUACACCAGAAACUAACACAACAUUGGAAAUCAACUGUACUUCAAGAAAAUAAAUUUUUAAAAAAUGAAAUUCCUAAUGAAUUGGGAUUGAAAUGAUUGUGUUAAGAACUUGAUCCCCGUAUACCACUAGGGAAAAUAGAAAUAACAUGCUGUAGCAAAAAGAAUGGAUUUGAAGUCACACCCCUGAGAACACGCUUUACUAAGCUUCGUGGCGUUGUCUACAUCAGUUCAUCUAUCUGAAUCUGUUUCCCUGGCUUUAAGCAGUGGAUACGUUAUCUAUUGCUGCAUAGAAAAUUACCCUGAAACUUGGUAUUCAACAAUUCCUGAGGGUUAGAAUCCAGGAGCCACGUCGCUGGGAGGUUCUGAUUUGGGAUCUCGCUGGCGGCGGGAAAAGACGUCAGCCGGACCCAUCUCUGCUUGAAAGUUGGAGGGAUAGGGAAUCUGCCUCCUGGUUCCCUUUCAGGGUUGGUGGCAGCCAGAUUUUAGUCCCUCUCCAUGUGCGGUCUCCAUAGGGCUGCUCUGGAUGUGGCAGCUGGCUUUUCCCAAAGCAAGUGAUCCAUGAGAGACAGAGGCUAAGGCAGAAGCUGCAGGAUUUAUUAUAACCUAGUCUUAGAAAUGACAUGCCCUGUCAUGUGCUAUAUCCACUGUCCCAUAGGCCAACCCUGGUACCUGUGGGAGAGGUUGCAUGGGUGUGACUACAGGAGACAGGCAUCGCUGGGAAUGACUAUUUAGAAUGAAAAUCGAAGUGUCCUUAGCUUGUCCUGCUAAGAUGCUGAUGAUCUCUGGUUACCCUCCGUCAGACCCCAGGGGGCACACAGCUCUCCAGACCUGACUCCUGUCCACUUUCCCAGCACAUCCUCCUCCCUUCUUUGCCCCAACUCUAUCAAACUUUUUAGUCUCCUGGCUUUCAUCCAUCCUGUUCCCUCUGCUUGGAAUGCUCUUAUUUUCACUGCAAGGGGCUACCCAGUAAGCUCCUCGUGCUGCCAGCCGUCCUCAUGCCCUGCCUCCUGCUGAGGCUUCCUUUCUUCAUUGUCAGGUAGUGUCUUAGGGGGCGUGUCCCCUGUGCCCGGGGGUCAGAAUCAAUCACCCCCGUCCACACCAGAAAGAUUUCCUUUGGAGUUUGUCCUGGAUUAAACACCUGACUGGUCUGUACAGAGUGAUGACAGGAGAAAAAGAAUUAACGUUUCUUCAACUCCCAGCUGCUGCCUCAAGCACUUUCCCAGACAUUAGCCUAUUUUGUCAUACACGUUUUUCCAUUUGGGCAAGUGAUGGUACCUUCAUGGAUCUUGGUCAGCUCACUAGUUAUGUGAGAAUAUUUCCCACAUUUGCCCUGGACACUUCCACUCACCUGUACCUUGCACACAACCUCUCCCUGCCUGGGAUGCUCUCUGCUCCAUCUCCAUGUGUUCAUUCUUACAUAGCCCCCUAGGAUCGAAUCCCAUCUCUGCUCCUUUGGAGCUGAGCAACCUUAGGCAAGUUUCUUAACUUCUCUGAGGUCAGAAAAUAGCUGUAUCUAACAACCACUACUGAUGCUGUGGAGAUGCCUGAUUAGAUGGGUGUUGUCAGGGCCACCUCCAAUAGGAUCUGAGGCCUGGAGGGCUCCGUAAAUGGUGGUUUCCUUUCUUUUCUUUCUUCAGGCUCAAAACAAACAUAGACCCAAAUACCACCCCAUCCCCUCCACCCAGAAUCCAUUCUAUUACAUCUUCCUCCCUACCCGCAAGGUGCCCGUAUGCAGAAGUGUAACCAUAUGUCUCAGAAAUACAAGCCUUGCUGAGGGGGGGAAGAGAGUGUGCCCCAGGCCCUCCAUACCUGGAGGUGGGUCUCAGGAAAGCCAUCCUGUGACAGUGACACGAACAAGAGGAGCUUGUCCAAACUUCUCUGAGCCUCAGUUUCUCUAUCCACAAAAUGGGAAACAUGAAAUCUUCCUGCAAGGAUUAGAUGAGGUAUUUCCAGGAUUUGAAAAGAGUCCCAAGGACUUGGCCUAGAGUAGACGUUCAGUACAUGUUUUAAGCCCUUUCUAGGACGUACAGUUGUUUUGCCCGACUACACCACAGCCACCUAAAUGUGUCACCCAUUUACUAGGGUACAGCCUCACUCAUUAGGCUCCAUGCUGGAAAACUGUUUAGCCCUGGGUCUCAUCUGUUCGGGUUUAUGUCAGCUGUGCUUUCCCUGGUCCCUGAAAGGGAUGUGCUCCUUCCCCAUCAACAUGCCCAAGUUCAUCAUCAAGAGACUUUCAUUACUCAUCUCACGUAGCUUCAUUAUUUAUGUACCAGUCAGAGAUGAUCUUUGGCCUUUUUUUAAUUACAUUUAUUUUUAUUGUCUUCUAUAAUCCUAUCAUAUUUUCAAUUACAUAGCCAUUCAUUCAGCAGUGGGUUUCCCCCCUUUGG
This 4873-nucleotide long non-coding RNA is filed under the name Sus scrofa (pig). RNAcentral describes it as "lncRNA (ENSSSCG00000054365.1)". The record is from RNAcentral. Lineage: Eukaryota; Metazoa; Chordata; Mammalia; Artiodactyla; Suidae.